This 470-nucleotide unclassified non-coding RNA is filed under the name Hevea brasiliensis (rubber tree). Lineage: Eukaryota; Viridiplantae; Streptophyta; Magnoliopsida; Malpighiales; Euphorbiaceae. The record is from RNAcentral.
GGAAGCAUUAAAAUUGUUAGAUCUCGAAAAUGUUCAUUACCUGUUCGAUGAAUUGAUUCAAAGAGCUUCCAAAUGCUUAUCAUCGAAUCCUCAAGCUAAUAAUGCUUCUUCAAGGAAUUCCAGUAAUUUGUCUUUGGCCAAUUCAUCUUCCUUCAACGGUAGUAGUUUCAAUUCUCCGGCAACUACUACGACUAUGUCUUCUUCGUCCAGCUUUUAUAGUGAGAAAGAGUCUGUUAAAGUGUCUGAACUGGUUACAAGAGACGACAGUUACUUGAAGAAACCGACCACUGCGUUUCAAAUGGAUGGAAUCGGUGUUGGGCUUCGAUCUAAGAAUGCUUCUUCUGCGCCCCAGAUUGUCGAUACCACUUUGAAGCGUACUACUGGUGAAAAUGGUGAAAAAAUGAGCUUGAUAAAGCUUGCUAGUUUGAUAGAAGUUUCAGCCAAAAAAGGAACCAAGGAGCUAAUUCUUC